GUAACACGUAAACAACCUGCCUUCAGGAUGGGGACAACAGACGGAAACGACUGCUAAUACCGAAUAAGUUCCAAGAGCCGCAUGGCCCAUGGAAGAAAAGGUGGCCUCUACCUGUAAGCUAUCGCCUGAAGAGGGGUUUGCGUCUGAUUAGCUGGUUGGAGGGGUAACGGCCCACCAAGGCGGCGAUCAGUAGCCGGUCUGGAGAGGAUGAACGGCCCACACUGGAACUGAGACACGGUCCAGACUCCUACGGGAGGCAGCAUG
RNAcentral lists this ribosomal RNA (264 nucleotides) under uncultured bacterium. Its description in RNAcentral is "partial 16S ribosomal RNA". It matches the Rfam family "Bacterial small subunit ribosomal RNA", at positions 110 to 353 of the family's 1533-position model. The record is from RNAcentral.